Non-coding RNA from Brienomyrus brachyistius, 74 nucleotides. Lineage: Eukaryota; Metazoa; Chordata; Actinopteri; Osteoglossiformes; Mormyridae. The record is from the annotation of a RefSeq genome assembly.
GGCACUGUGGCUUAGAUGGUUAAAGCACCUGCCUAGUAAACAGGCGGAGCUGGGUUCAAAUUCCAGCAGUGCCU